This 486-nucleotide ribosomal RNA is filed under the name uncultured bacterium. Its description in RNAcentral is "partial 16S ribosomal RNA". It matches the Rfam family "Bacterial small subunit ribosomal RNA", at positions 28 to 523 of the family's 1533-position model. The record is from RNAcentral.
GACGAACGCUGGCGGCGUGCUUAACACAUGCAAGUCGAACGGUGAAAGCGGAGCUUGCUCCGCUGGAUCAGUGGCGAACGGGUGAGUAACACGUGGGCAACCUGCCCCUCACUUCGGGAUAACUCCGGGAAACCGGGGCUAAUACCGGAUAUGACCUCCUAGGGCAUCUUUGGAGGUGGACAGUUUUUGGGUGAGGGAUGGGCCCGCGGCCGAUCAGCUUGUUGGUGGGGGAGUGGCCCACCAAGGCGACGACGGGUAGCCGGCCUGAGAGGGCGACCGGCCACACUGGGACUGAGACACGGCCCAGACUCCUACGGGAGGCAGCAGUGGGGAAUAUUGCGCAAUGGGCGAAAGCCUGACGCAGCAACGCCGCGUGCGGGAUGACGGCCUUCGGGUUGUAAACCGCUUUCAGCAGGGAAGAAGCCGCAAGGUGACGGUACCUGCAGAAGAAGCACCGGCUAACUACGUGCCAGCCGCCGCCGGUAA